CCCGCUGAACUUAAGCAUAUCAAUAAGCGGAGGAAAAGAAACUAACAAGGAUUCCCCCAGUAACUGCGAGUGAAGAGGGAAGAGCUCAAAUUUAAAAUCUGGCAGUCUCUGGCUGUCCGAGUUGUAAAUUAGAGAAGUGUUAUCCGCGCUGGACUGUGCAUAAGUUCCUUGGAAAAGGGCAUCAUAGAGGGUGACAAUCCCGUCUUUGGCACAGACUACCAGGGCUUUUGUGAUGCGCUCUCAAUGAGUCGAGUUGUUUGGGAAUGCAGCUCUAAAUGGGUGGUAAAUUCCAUCUAAAGCUAAAUAUUGGCGAGAAACCGAUAGCGCACAAGUACCGUGAGGGAAAGAUGAAAAGAACUUUGAAAAGAGAGUUAAACAGUACGUGAAAUUGUUGAAAGGGAAACGCUUGAAGUCAGUCACAUCCUUCAGAAAUCAACCUGAUCAUUGGUCUGGUGUACUUUCUGUUUGGAUGGGUCAGCAUCAAUUUUGAUCAUUGGAUAAAGGAUUAGGGAAUGUGGCAUCCUCGGAUGUGUUAUAACCCUUGUUCAUAUACAGUGGUUGGGAUUGAGGAACUCAGUGCUUGCACUCAGGAUGCUGACAUAAUGGCUUUAAUCGACCCGUCUUGAAACACGG
This 633-nucleotide ribosomal RNA is filed under the name uncultured fungus. RNAcentral's name for it is "eukaryotic LSU rRNA". It matches the Rfam family "Eukaryotic large subunit ribosomal RNA", at positions 24 to 664 of the family's 3401-position model. The record is from RNAcentral. Lineage: Eukaryota; Fungi.